UCGAGCGGACCGACGGGAGCUUGCUCCCUUAGGUCAGCGGCGGACGGGUGAGUAACACGUGGGUAACCUGCCUGUAAGACUGGGAUAACUCCGGGAAACCGGGGCUAAUACCGGAUGCUUGAUUGAACCGCAUGGUUCAAUCAUAAAAGGUGGCUUUUAGCUACCACUUGCAGAUGGACCCGCGGCGCAUUAGCUAGUUGGUGAGGUAACGGCUCACCAAGGCGACGAUGCGUAGCCGACCUGAGAGGGUGAUCGGCCACACUGGGACUGAGACACGGCCCAGACUCCUACGGGAGGCAGCAGUAGGGAAUCUUCCGCAAUGGACGAAAGUCUGACGGAGCAACGCCGCGUGAGUGAUGAAGGUUUUCGGAUCGUAAAACUCUGUUGUUAGGGAAGAACAAGUACCGUUCGAAUAGGGCGGUACCUUGACGGUACCUAACCAGAAAGCCACGGCUAACUACGUGCCAGCAGCCGCGGUAAUACGUAGGUGGCAAGCGUUGUCCGGAAUUAUUGGGCGUAAAGCGCGCGCAGG
This 532-nucleotide ribosomal RNA is filed under the name Bacillus licheniformis. Its description in RNAcentral is "bacterial SSU rRNA". It matches the Rfam family "Bacterial small subunit ribosomal RNA", at positions 62 to 575 of the family's 1533-position model. The record is from RNAcentral. Lineage: Bacteria; Bacillati; Bacillota; Bacilli; Caryophanales; Bacillaceae.